GGGGCACUGGCCAAACUGGCUAAGGCACCGGUCUCCAAAACCGGCGAUUCCAGGUUCGAGUCCUGGGUGCCCCGCUA
This 77-nucleotide transfer RNA is filed under the name uncultured Solirubrobacterales bacterium. Its description in RNAcentral is "tRNA-Trp-CCA". It matches the Rfam family "tRNA". Rfam says of the family: Transfer RNA (tRNA) molecules are approximately 80 nucleotides in length. Their secondary structure includes four short double-helical elements and three loops (D, anti-codon, and T loops). Lineage: Bacteria; Bacillati; Actinomycetota; Thermoleophilia; Solirubrobacterales. The record is from RNAcentral.